RNAcentral lists this non-coding RNA (21 nucleotides) under Arabidopsis thaliana (thale cress). Lineage: Eukaryota; Viridiplantae; Streptophyta; Magnoliopsida; Brassicales; Brassicaceae. The record is from RNAcentral.
CAACAAGUGCAAUACGUGGUA